This is a non-coding RNA of Phrynosoma platyrhinos (Desert horned lizard), 71 nucleotides long. The record is from the annotation of a GenBank genome assembly. Lineage: Eukaryota; Metazoa; Chordata; Lepidosauria; Squamata; Phrynosomatidae.
GCCAAUGUGGUGUAGUGGUUAGAGCAUUGGAUACAACUCUGGAGACUAGGGUUCAAAUCCCUGCUCAGCCA